GGAAAAGGAGUGAAGAAGACUUGGGUUGGAAUAACCUAUGAACUGGAUAAUUAGACUUUGUCCUGUUAAGAGCUGCCUUUUAACGGAGAUAAAGGCAAUAAUGCGGACACUUCAGGCCCAGCAAGCCGUUAGGCUGGACUCUUCUUUGACAGACGAAACUUCUAAAAGGCAGCUGCUGUGGUCUCACAUCUCCCUUCUCCCCGCAAAUGUGUAAAUAAAGAAACACCCCUUUGCCUUUCAUUCAUGGCAGGCUGAACUCGCCCUCAGGAGCUGGGCUGAGUGGCCAGGGCCUUUGGGGCCGAAAUGGCUGGACUCAGAGCGUGGACCUACAAGGAGAAAGCAAGGCAAAGCAAGCAGACGUCCUGGGGAGGUCGGAGCACCUGGUCCAGCAGGGGCAACCAAACAACUCCAGCCUCGACAGGACCCUCAGACAGGAGAGGGGAGUCCGCGUACUACCACUGUGGGACCUGGCUUUACUCAUCCUGGGGUUCUUGUGCUGGAAACCAGGCUCUGGCAUCAACCUCUCAGAGACUAACAACCCCAAACAGAGCACCUCCGACUCCAUGAUAGAAACGCUGGGCGUCAGAAAGCCAUGUUCUCAGCAGCACGAGGUUCUGUCAAAAGUGGUGCAGUGAGAACUCACACCCCAUCAGAUCUGGCUCCUGGAGCAGAGUCACAUGCACAGGCAGCACUGCCUGAGUGGCAGCAGGAUGCCCGUGACACUCCACCACCACCACUGCUAUAGCUGCCGUUACUUUGCACAGCACGGACAAUAUCUCCAGCCUCCACGGU
Molecule: long non-coding RNA, 792 nt
Filed under: Equus asinus (donkey)
Lineage: Eukaryota; Metazoa; Chordata; Mammalia; Perissodactyla; Equidae
Description: lncRNA (ENSEASG00005038708.1)
Source: RNAcentral